RNAcentral lists this ribosomal RNA (466 nucleotides) under uncultured bacterium. RNAcentral describes it as "bacterial SSU rRNA". It matches the Rfam family "Bacterial small subunit ribosomal RNA", at positions 328 to 795 of the family's 1533-position model. The record is from RNAcentral.
GAGCCAGACUCCUACGGGAGGCAGCAGUGGGGAAUAUUGCACAAUGGGGGGAACCCUGAUGCAGCGACGCCGCGUGGGUGAAGGAGCACCUCGGUGCGUAAAGCCCUAUCGGCAGGGAAGAAAAGCGAACAGGUUCGCCUGGACGGUACCUGACUAAGAAGCCCCGGCUAACUACGUGCCAGCAGCCGCGGUAAUACGUAGGGGGCAAGCGUUAUCCGGAUUCACUGGGUGUAAAGGGAGCGUAGACGGCGACGCAAGUCUGGAGUGAAAGCCCGGGGCCCAACCCCGGGACUGCUCUGGAAACUGCGUCGCUGGAGUACGGGAGAGGCAGGCGGAAUUCCCGGUGUAGCGGUGGAAUGCGUAGAUAUCGGGAGGAACACCAGUGGCGAAGGCGGCCUGCUGGACAUUAACUGACGCUGAGGCGCGAAAGCGUGGGGAGCAAACAGGAUUAGAUACCCGCGUACCC